UAACGCGUGAGGAACCUGCCUCAAAGAGGGGGACAACAGUUGGAAACGACUGCUAAUACCGCAUAAGCCCACGGGUCGGCAUCGACCAGAGGGAAAAGGAGCAAUCCGCUUUGAGAUGGCCUCGCGUCCGAUUAGCUAGUUGGUGAGGUAAUGGCCCACCAAGGCGACGAUCGGUAGCCGGACUGAGAGGUUGAACGGCCACAUUGGGACUGAGACACGGCCCAGACUCCUACGGGAGGCAGCAGUGGGGAAUAUUGCACAAUGGGGGUAACCCUGAUGCAGCGACGCCGCGUGGAGGAAGAAGGUCUUCGGAUUGUAAACUCCUGUUGUUGGGGAAGAUAAUGACGGUACCCAACAAGGAAGUGACGGCUAACUACGUGCCAGCAGCCGCGGUAAAACGUAGGUCACAAGCGUUGUCCGGAAUUACUGGGUGUAAAGGGAGCGCAGGCGGGGAGACAAGUUGGAAGUGAAAUCUAUGGGCUCAACCCAUAAACUGCUUUCAAAACUGUUUUUCUUGAGUAGUGCAGAGGUAGGCGGAAUUCCCGGUGUAGCGGUGGAAUGCGUAGAUAUCGGGAGGAACACCAGUGGCGAAGGCGGCCUACUGGGCACCAACUGACGCUGAGGCUCGAAAGUGUGGGUAGCAAACAGGAUUAGAUACCCUGGUAGUCCACACCGUAAACGAUGAUUACUAGGUGU
RNAcentral lists this ribosomal RNA (696 nucleotides) under uncultured bacterium. RNAcentral describes it as "bacterial SSU rRNA". It matches the Rfam family "Bacterial small subunit ribosomal RNA", at positions 111 to 823 of the family's 1533-position model. The record is from RNAcentral.